UUCUCGUUCUUACGCUUCUGCACAGAAAAACAAAAGAGAACAACAAGACCAAACUCUCAGCUUUCUCUUGCGUUUCUUCCUCAGAGCAACAACAACAACAACUCUUCCUCUCUCUCACUCGCUUACGGACAACAACAAAACAACCAUACUCUCUUUCUCGCGGUGUUUCUCUCGGAACAACAACCUUCGAACCUUCGGCAGCCAUGGAACAAGAACCAGAGGGAAAAUCCAGGUACAGUAAUAAUUAACAGUGAUAUUGAGCGUGAGGUAUGAAGUAGACUUACCUACGGCGAGGAGGUUUUCGCCGGAUUUAUUCGUUGAGCCCCUGUUUGAUGAAGACGAUGCAACCUCCUCUUCUUGGACUUGUAGGAAUUUUGGAUGUUAGGGAUGCUCGAAGGUUGAGCUUGUUGGAAGUUGAAGACUUGAAGAUGAAGCUUCAAGUUUGUUGAAGGAUGCUAGUAAGUGAGGUAUGAAACACUUACUUCUCUUCUCUUUUUUUUUAUCUUGUAGAUGAAGUUCUUACUACUUCAACAAGACUUUUUUUAUGUGAAAGAAGCUUUGAAGUGUGAGAACUUUGUGUGUGUUCUCCGAUUUUCCUUCCUCUUCCCAUAUUUUCUUGCCUUUCCUCUAUUUAUAGAGGAACAAAUGAGGGACAAUUUUGGUCAUUUUGGAACCAAAGCUUAGUCCUUAAGCUCACUUAAUUACUAAGUUGUCAUCAUUGCAAAGAAUAUUCUUUCCCAAAAUAAUCAUUGCAAGAAUUUCUUUCAUGCUAAGUUUGCUUAAUGGCAAAGCUCCACAAAUUUGUGCACAAGGGAGAAUAUGCACAUGGGAUGGAAUAUAUUAUGCACAUCUCUUGCAAGUGAAAGUUCCACGACAAUCUUGUCUUCAUGUCAUGAAAUUGGUAGUCUCUAAGUAUAGCACUUAUGACAUAAUAUAUAUCCCUUUGACUUUCUUUGACUUUUGACUUUUUGACUUUGAUUUGGGCUUUUGGGCCCCCUUGAAUUAUUUUUGUGAGACUUUUGCUAAUUCCACCCUUUUUGUUUCUUUUUCAUGUUGCAUGAGAAUUCUUGAAGGAAGAAUAAAGAAACUUGGUCUUGAAGAAUGGAAGCUUGAAGAUUGAAGAAUAAAUUCAAGAAAACUUUGUAUUUUUCUUUUGUUGUAAUUCUUGAACUUAAUAUCAAUGCAAUUUUGGU
Long non-coding RNA from Vicia villosa (hairy vetch), 1193 nucleotides. RefSeq lists it as uncharacterized. NCBI's taxonomy places the organism in Eukaryota, Viridiplantae, Streptophyta, Magnoliopsida, Fabales, Fabaceae. The record is from RefSeq and is a predicted model, not a curated record. The transcript has 3 exons.